This 149-nucleotide non-coding RNA is filed under the name Romboutsia timonensis. The record is from RNAcentral. Lineage: Bacteria; Bacillati; Bacillota; Clostridia; Peptostreptococcales; Peptostreptococcaceae.
GUUUCGUAAGAAUUAAUAGGGAAAUUGGUGCAAAUCCAAUGCGAUCCCGUCACUGUGAUAAAGGGUUAGUUUUUAUACCACUGAGUAAAUAUACUUGGGAAGGAAAAUCUAACAAUGCUUUUUAGCCAGGAGACCUGCUUUUAUAAGUU